RNAcentral lists this ribosomal RNA (282 nucleotides) under Escherichia coli. RNAcentral's name for it is "partial 23S ribosomal RNA". It matches the Rfam family "Bacterial large subunit ribosomal RNA", at positions 1 to 283 of the family's 2925-position model. The record is from RNAcentral. Lineage: Bacteria; Pseudomonadati; Pseudomonadota; Gammaproteobacteria; Enterobacterales; Enterobacteriaceae.
GGUUAAGCGACUAAGCGUACACGGUGGAUGCCCUGGCAGUCAGAGGCGAUGAAGGACGUGCUAAUCUGCGAUAAGCGUCGGUAAGGUGAUAUGAACCGUUAUAACCGGCGAUUUCCGAAUGGGGAAACCCAGUGUGUUUCGACACACUAUCAUUAACUGAAUCCAUAGGUUAAUGAGGCGAACCGGGGGAACUGAAACAUCUAAGUACCCCGAGGAAAAGAAAUCAACCGAGAUUCCCCCAGUAGCGGCGAGCGAACGGGGAGCAGCCCAGAGCCUGAAUCA